GCAGUCGAACGGCAGCACAGGAGAGCUUGCUCUCUGGGUGGCGAGUGGCGGACGGGUGAGGAAUACAUCGGAAUCUACCUUUUCGUGGGGGAUAACGUAGGGAAACUUACGCUAAUACCGCAUACGACCUUCGGGUGAAAGCAGGGGACCUUCCGGCCUUGCGCGGAUAGAUGAGCCGAUGUCGGAUUAGCUAGUUGGCGGGGUAAAGGCCCACCAAGGCGACGAUCCGUAGCUGGUCUGAGAGGAUGAUCAGCCACACUGGAACUGAGACACGGUCCACACUCCUACGGGAGGCAGCAGUGGGGAAUAUUGGACAAUGGGCGCAAGCCUGAUCCAGCCAUACCGCGUGGGUGAAGAAGGCCUUCGGGUUGUAAAGCCCUUUUGUUGGGAAAGAAAAGCAAUCGAUUAAUACUCGGUUGUUCUGACGGUACCCAAAGAAUAAGCACCGGCUAACUUCGUGCCAGCAGCCGCGGUAAUACGAAGGGUGCAAGCGUUACUCGGAAUUACUGGGCGUAAAGCGUGCGUAGGUGGUUGUUUAAGUCUGUUGUGAAAGCCCUGGGCUCAGCCUGGGAAUUGCAGUGGAUACUGGGCGACUAGAGUGUGGUAGAGGGUAGUGGAAUUCCCGGUGUAGCAGUGAAAUGCGUAGAGAUCGGGAGGAACAUCCAUGGCGAAGGCAGCUACCUGGACCAACACUGACACUGAGGCACGAAAGCGUGGGGAGCAAACAGGAUUACAUACCCUGGUAGUCCACGCCCUAGACGAUGCGAACUGGAUGUUGGGUGCAAUUUGGCACGCAGUAUCGAAGCUAACGCGUUAACUUCGCCGCCUGGGGAGUACGGUCGCAAGACUGAAACUCUAUGGAAUU
This 865-nucleotide ribosomal RNA is filed under the name Stenotrophomonas sp. UA-JF3405. RNAcentral describes it as "bacterial SSU rRNA". It matches the Rfam family "Bacterial small subunit ribosomal RNA", at positions 57 to 911 of the family's 1533-position model. The record is from RNAcentral. Lineage: Bacteria; Pseudomonadati; Pseudomonadota; Gammaproteobacteria; Lysobacterales; Lysobacteraceae.